RNAcentral lists this ribosomal RNA (497 nucleotides) under uncultured bacterium. RNAcentral's name for it is "partial 16S ribosomal RNA". It matches the Rfam family "Bacterial small subunit ribosomal RNA", at positions 28 to 507 of the family's 1533-position model. The record is from RNAcentral.
GAUGAACGCUGGCGGCGUGCCUAAUACAUGCAAGUCGAGCGAACAGACGAGGAGCUUGCUCCUCUGACGUUAGCGGCGGACGGGUGAGUAACACGUGGAUAACCUACCUAUAAGACUGGGAUAACUUCGGGAAACCGGAGCUAAUACCGGAUAAUAUAUUGAACCGCAUGGUUCAAUAGUGAAAGACGGUUUUGCUGUCACUUAUAGAUGGAUCCGCGCCGCAUUAGCUAGUUGGUAAGGUAACGGCUUAACAAGGCAACGAUGCGUAGCCGACCUGAGAGGGUGAACGGACACACUGGAACUGAGACACGGUCCAGACUCCUACGGGAGGAAGCAGUAGGGAAUCUUCCGCAAUGGGCGAAAGCCUGACGGAGCAACGCCGCGUGAGUGAUGAAGGUCUUCGGAUCGUAAAACUCUGUUAUUAGGGAAGAACAAAUGUGUAAGUAACUAUGCACGUCUUGACGGUACCUAAUCAGAAAGCCACGGCUAACUACGUG